Molecule: long non-coding RNA, 228 nt
Filed under: Dromaius novaehollandiae (emu)
Lineage: Eukaryota; Metazoa; Chordata; Aves; Casuariiformes; Dromaiidae
Description: lncRNA (ENSDNVG00000006683.1)
Source: RNAcentral
AUGGCUAUGCAGCAUUCCGGCUGUUUCCUCUUCCUGAGCCUCGGGAGGAUCCCUGGGAUAUGGCCAACAUUGAUGGGCAUGCAGCUUCUCAGCUGGAUCUCCAUUUUGAACCUCGAGAUGGUCGUGCACCUGUUCCCCUGCAGAGGGCUUAUCCAGCUUCUCAGCUGGAUGCUGUUGCUGAGCCUCCAGGUCUUCCCAGGGGUACGUAGUCAAUUUUUUCUUCCCUGA